AGCGAACGCUGGCGGCAAUGCUUAACACAUGCAAGUCGCACGGUCGGGGUAACUCGGCAGUGGCGGACGGGUGAGUAACGCGUAGGUAUCUAUCCUUGGGUGGGGGACAACUGCGGGAAACUGCAGCUAAUACCGCAUGAUGCUUGAGGGCCAAAGGCGCGAGUCGCCUGGGGAGAGCCUGCGUACGAUUAGCUUGUUGGUGGGGUAAAGGCCUACCAAGGCGACGACGUUAGCUGGUCUGAGAGGAUGAUCAGCCACACUGGGACUGAGACACGGCCCAGACUCCUACGGGAGCAGCAGUGGGGAAUAUUGGACAAUGGCGAAAGCCUGAUCCAGCCAUGCCGCGU
RNAcentral lists this ribosomal RNA (347 nucleotides) under uncultured bacterium. RNAcentral's name for it is "bacterial SSU rRNA". It matches the Rfam family "Bacterial small subunit ribosomal RNA", at positions 29 to 402 of the family's 1533-position model. The record is from RNAcentral.